UACAGAGGUGGCAAGCGUUGUUCGGAAUUACUGGGCGUAAAGGGCGCGUAGGCGGUCUUCUAAGUCUUGUGUGAAAUCCCUCGGCUCAACUGAGGAACUGCGCGGGAUACUGGAAGACUUGAGUUCGGGAGAGGGAAGCGGAAUUCCGGGUGUAGCGGUGAAAUGCGUAGAUAUCCGGAGGAACACCGGUGGCGAAGGCGGCUUCCUGGACCGAUUACUGACGCUGAGGCGCGAAAGCUAGGGGAGCAAACGGG
RNAcentral lists this ribosomal RNA (254 nucleotides) under uncultured bacterium. RNAcentral's name for it is "partial 16S ribosomal RNA". It matches the Rfam family "Bacterial small subunit ribosomal RNA", at positions 524 to 776 of the family's 1533-position model. The record is from RNAcentral.